Molecule: long non-coding RNA, 322 nt
Filed under: Olea europaea subsp. europaea
Lineage: Eukaryota; Viridiplantae; Streptophyta; Magnoliopsida; Lamiales; Oleaceae
Source: RNAcentral
GCAGCAUGAAAGUUUCGACAAUAUUUUCAGUCACAUCCUAUUGUAGUACUCACCAAUCAGCCUCUAAAACACAUUCUUCAGAAACCAGAUGUCUCAAGAAGAUUACUGAAGUGGACAAUUGAACUCGAAGAAUUUGACAUAGAGUUCAAGCCCCGUCCAUCUAUUAAAGCUCAAGCCUUAGCUGACUUCAUUACAGAACUCAUCCCAAGGCCUUGGGGGCCAGAUAGUAGCUCGAGCUCUUCCACAGGUGUGUGGUAAAUUUUUGUAGAUGGUGCAUCAAACUUCUCGGGCUCGGGUGCAGGGGUUAUAAUCAUAAGCCCGG